CUUAUAGAAUUAUCCCCUUGGUGUCACCAUCAACUACUAGCAGCUACUCUGUGCAUUUGUUGAAAUACAGGGUGUCUCUUUGAUCUGAAUAGUCUGUCUGAAUUUGGGGAAAAGGAAGAAUAAAAAGAAUACCAGCGAAUGCAUCUGGGAGAUGUAGCUGCUCCCAUGUUAUGAAAUAUGGAUGCGGAGUUUGCAGCAAUGGUUUAUGCUGCUGAUUGCAAGCACAGGGUCCAAAUUGUGUCAGGACUUGUAUUUCAUUAUACUUCAU
This is a long non-coding RNA of Stegostoma tigrinum, 268 nucleotides long. RefSeq lists it as uncharacterized. Lineage: Eukaryota; Metazoa; Chordata; Chondrichthyes; Orectolobiformes; Stegostomatidae. The transcript has 3 exons. The record is from RefSeq and is a predicted model, not a curated record.